GAUGAACGCUGGCGGCGUGCCUAAUACAUGCAAGUCGAGCGAACAGACGAGGAGCUUGCUCCUUUGACGUUAGCGGCGGACGGGUGAGUAACACGUGGGUAACCUACCUAUAAGACUGGGAUAACUUCGGGAAACCGGAGCUAAUACCGGAUAAUAUUUCGAACCGCAUGGUUCGAUAGUGAAAGAUGGCUUUGCUAUCACUUAUAGAUGUACCUGCGCCGUAUUAGCUAGUUGGUAAGGUAACGGCUUACCCAGGCAACGAUACGUAGCCGACCUGAGAGGGUGAUCGGCCACACUGGAACUGAGACACGGUCCAGACUCCUACGGGAGGCAGCAGUAGGGAAUCUUCCGCAAUGGGCGAAAGCCUGACGGAGCAACGCCGCGUGAGUGAUGAAGGUCUUCGGAUCGUAAAACUCUGUUAUUAGGGAAGAAUAAACGUGUAAGUAACUGUGCACGUCUUGACGGUACCUAAUCAGAAAGCCACGGCUAACUACGUG
Molecule: ribosomal RNA, 497 nt
Filed under: uncultured bacterium
Lineage: Bacteria
Description: partial 16S ribosomal RNA
Rfam family: Bacterial small subunit ribosomal RNA
Source: RNAcentral